This 75-nucleotide transfer RNA is filed under the name Magnolia x alba. RNAcentral's name for it is "Magnolia alba tRNA-Trp". It matches the Rfam family "tRNA". Rfam says of the family: Transfer RNA (tRNA) molecules are approximately 80 nucleotides in length. Their secondary structure includes four short double-helical elements and three loops (D, anti-codon, and T loops). Further hydrogen bonds mediate the characteristic L-shaped molecular structure. tRNAs have two regions of fundamental functional importance: the anti-codon, which is responsible for specific mRNA codon recognition, and the 3' end, to which the tRNAs corresponding amino acid is attached (by aminoacyl-tRNA synthetases). tRNAs cope with the degeneracy of the genetic code in two manners: having more than one tRNA (with a specific anti-codon) for a particular amino acid; and 'wobble' base-pairing, i.e. permitting non-standard base-pairing at the 3rd anti-codon position. Lineage: Eukaryota; Viridiplantae; Streptophyta; Magnoliopsida; Magnoliales; Magnoliaceae. The record is from RNAcentral. RNAcentral also lists the same sequence under 2 other names.
GCGCGGGGUAGAGCAGUUUGGUAGCUCGCAAGGCUCAUAACCUUGAGGUCACGGGUUCAAAUCCUGUCUCCGCAA